CGAGAUUCCCCCAGUAGCGGCGAGCGAACGGGGAGCAGCCCAGAGCCUGAAUCAGUGUGUGUGUUAGUGGAAGCGUCUGGAAAGGCGCGCGAUACAGGGUGACAGCCCCGUACACAAAAAUGCACAUACUGUGAGCUCGAUGAGUAGGGCGGGACACGUGGUAUCCUGUCUGAAUAUGGGGGGACCAUCCUCCAAGGCUAAAUACUCCUGACUGACCGAUAGUGAACCAGUACCGUGAGGGAAAGGCGAAAAGAACCCCGGCGAGGGGAGUGAAAAAGAACCUGAAACCGUGUACGUACAAGCAGUGGGAGCACGCUU
Molecule: ribosomal RNA, 318 nt
Filed under: Escherichia coli
Lineage: Bacteria; Pseudomonadati; Pseudomonadota; Gammaproteobacteria; Enterobacterales; Enterobacteriaceae
Description: partial 23S ribosomal RNA
Rfam family: Bacterial large subunit ribosomal RNA
Source: RNAcentral